Molecule: ribosomal RNA, 434 nt
Filed under: uncultured bacterium
Lineage: Bacteria
Description: bacterial LSU rRNA
Rfam family: Bacterial large subunit ribosomal RNA
Source: RNAcentral
AAUGAGCCUACGAGUUACUCCUCUCUAGCAAGGUUAAAGAUUUAAGAUCUGGAUCCGAAGCGAAAGCAAGUCUGAAUAGGGCGUAUAGUUAGAGGGGGUAGACGCGAAACCUUGUGAUCUACCCAUGACCAGGUUGAAGUUCCGGUAACACGGAAUGGAGGACCGAACUGAUAAGCGUUGAAAAGCUUCCGGAUGAGUUGUGGGUAGGGGUGAAAGGCUAAUCAAACUGGGAAAUAGCUCGUACUCCCCGAAAUGUUUUUAGGAACAGCGUUGAGGUUGAGUCUUAUAGAGGUAGAGCUACUGAUUGGACAAGGGGGCUUCACCGCCUACCAAAUCCUGACAAACUCCGAAUACUAUAAGAUAUACUCAGCAGUGAGCCCAUGGGUGCUAAGUCCGUGGGCGAGAGGGAAAGAACCCAGACCAACAGCUAAGGU